CUACGGAAGGUCCGGGCGUUAUCCGGAUUUAUUGGGUUUAAAGGGAGCGCAGGCGGAGAUGCAAGCGUGACGUCAAAUUUCGGGGCUCAACCCCGUCUCGCGUCGCGAACUGCGUCCCUUGGUUGCGGGAAGGGGAGGCGGAACUCGUGGUGUAGCGGUGAAAUGCAUAGAUAUCACGAAGAACUCCGAUCGCGAAGGCAGCCUUCCGGCCCGUCAACGACGCUCAUGCUCGAAGGUGCGGGUAUCAAACAGGAUUAGAUACCCUGGUAGUCCGUACAGUAAACGAUGGACACCCGCGGUUUGGCCUGUAUGGCUGAGCCGCCAAGCGAAAGCGUUAAGUGUCCCACCUGGGGAGUACGCCGGCAACGGUGAAACUCAAAGGAAUUGACGGGG
Molecule: ribosomal RNA, 393 nt
Filed under: uncultured bacterium
Lineage: Bacteria
Description: partial 16S ribosomal RNA
Rfam family: Bacterial small subunit ribosomal RNA
Source: RNAcentral